Molecule: long non-coding RNA, 330 nt
Organism: Oncorhynchus tshawytscha (Chinook salmon)
Lineage: Eukaryota; Metazoa; Chordata; Actinopteri; Salmoniformes; Salmonidae
Source: Ensembl
GCCAAUAUGUUUGUUUUUUUCGCUACAGAAUAAUCCACUUUACUCUUCAGUUUCACAUUAAAGGAACAGUGUACCAUAAUGAGUACAGCAGGAGUGGAGCGACGGAGGCCAACCCCAGCACAGACCCCUGAGGAGAGAGAGGGAUGGGGCCAGACAGGGAGAGAGGAGAGAGAGGGAUGGGGCCAGACAGGGAGAGAGGAGAGAGAGGGAUGGGGCCAGACAGGGAGAGAGGAGAGAGAGGGAUGGGACAGACAGGGAGAGAGGAGAGAGAGGGAUGGGGCCAGACAGGGAGAGAGGAGAGAGAGGGAUGGGACCAGACAGGGAGAGAGG